AUUAUUUUGAGUGUGAUGGACAAAUAUAAAACUAUACUUCUAGAAUAUGCAAGUAUAUAAAAUAUCACUAAUCCAGAAUAAAGUUGUAUGCAGUGGGGGUCAUGUGAAGCUUAGCGAAAAGUCCAAGUAAUACAUUUGUUACCUGCACUUUAGCUUCCUUAUCUAUAAAACAAAGAUAAUACCUACCUCACAGGUUUUAAGUAUUACACGAAAAUCUUAUGUAAAUUCCUAUUACAAAUGCCUGGUAAGUAAGCACUAAGAAAAUUCAGUGUUUAAGUAGAUAUGUCAGAUCAUAUUCUGGUGUGAAACAAAUGUACUUUAUUUUCAAGGGAUCUGCCAAUAUCCAGGUUACAGAUUCUAGGGCACUUGGGUCUGCCAACCUAUCUGGGGUUUCCCAGAAUCUUUCCUCAAACUCUUGGGAUUUGACCUAGGAAAUGGGGAGAGAUCCUGUCUCCUCAGAGACCUGCUGCUGAGGACAUUUCUUUCUCUUACUUGUUUCCUUCUGAUUUGGGGAAUCUGUGUGUAUGUGACAGGGAAGUUGGUAGGAAGCCCUGUUUGCACUUUUUUUUCUGGUCUUUUUGCUAGGUCCAGGGCCUAAGCUUUUCAAAGUUGACAUAGUUUAUAUUUAAUAAGUAUUUGAGUGUAUAUUAUGGCCAGCACUUUGGGAUGUGCAUGGGAUAAUGGAUAAGACGUAGGCUCUAACAUUACAGCCUAGAAUAUCAGAGGAACAAAUAAAUUGGAUGCUAAGG
This is a long non-coding RNA of Phyllostomus discolor (pale spear-nosed bat), 749 nucleotides long. RefSeq lists it as uncharacterized. The transcript is spliced from 2 exons. NCBI's taxonomy places the organism in Eukaryota, Metazoa, Chordata, Mammalia, Chiroptera, Phyllostomidae. The record is from RefSeq and is a predicted model, not a curated record.